RNAcentral lists this ribosomal RNA (326 nucleotides) under uncultured fungus. RNAcentral's name for it is "eukaryotic LSU rRNA". The stretch from base 1 to 52 matches the Rfam family "5.8S ribosomal RNA", at positions 103 to 154 of the family's 154-position model. The record is from RNAcentral. Lineage: Eukaryota; Fungi.
AACGCACCUUGCGCUCUUUGGUAUUCCGAAGAGCAUGCCUGUUUGAGUGUCAUGGAAUUCUCAAAAACAUAAAUAAAAGAAAAGCUUUUACCGGCAGAUUGUUUUGUUUUGUUUUUGGACUUGGAGGUUGUGUCGGCUACUAGCUUUAGUAAGACUCCUCUGAGACGCAUUAGUAUGAACCUUACGGAUCACUUAUCAGUGUGAUAAUUAUCUACGCUGUGGCUUGCUUGGAUCUUAUAAAUUUCAUGCUUCAAACCGUCUGCAUUAGUGGACAAUUUAUUUGACAAUCUGACCUCAAAUCAGGUAGGACUACCCGCUGAACUUAA